Molecule: transfer RNA, 71 nt
Filed under: Flavobacteriales bacterium
Lineage: Bacteria; Pseudomonadati; Bacteroidota; Flavobacteriia; Flavobacteriales
Description: tRNA-Phe
Rfam family: tRNA
About the family: Transfer RNA (tRNA) molecules are approximately 80 nucleotides in length.
Source: RNAcentral
GGAAGAACAGCUCAAGGGUAGAGCGGCGGUCUGAAAAACCGCAGGUGAUGGUUCGAUCCCAUCUUCUUCUG